Molecule: ribosomal RNA, 650 nt
Filed under: uncultured Glomus
Lineage: Eukaryota; Fungi; Glomeromycota; Glomeromycetes; Glomerales; Glomeraceae
Description: SSU rRNA
Rfam family: Eukaryotic small subunit ribosomal RNA
Source: RNAcentral
AAGCUCGUAGUUGAAUUUCGGGAUCAAAUUGUCGGUCGUGCCUCGGUACGUACUGGCGUUAUUGGUUCCUCCCUUCUGAAGAACCGCGAUGUCAUUAAUUUGGUGUCGCGGGGAAUCAGGACUGUUACUUUGAAAAAAUUAGAGUGUUUAAAGCAGGCUCGCGCUUGAAUACAUUAGCAUGGAAUAAUGAAAUAGGACGUUUGAUUCUAUUUUGUUGGUUUCUAGGAUCGACGUAAUGAUUAAUAGGGAUAGUUGGGGGCAUUAGUAUUCAAUCGUCAGAGGUGAAAUUCUUGGAUUUAUUGAAGACUAACUACUGCGAAAGCAUUUGCCAAGGAUGUUUUCAUUAAUCAAGAACGAAAGUUAGGGGAUCGAAGACGAUCAGAUACCGUCGUAGUCUUAACCAUAAACUAUGCCGACUAGGGAUCGGAUGAUGUUAAUUUUUUAAUGACUCAUUCGGCGCCUUACGGGAAACCAAAGUGUUUGGGUUCCGGGGGGAGUAUGGUCGCAAGGCUGAAACUUAAAGGAAUUGACGGAAGGGCACCACCAGGGGUGGAGCCUGCGGCUUAAUUUGACUCAACACGGGGAAACUCACCAGGUCCAGACAUAGUAAGGAUUGACAGAUUGAGAGCUCUUUCUUGAUUCUAUGGGUG